RNAcentral lists this transfer RNA (85 nucleotides) under Felis catus (domestic cat). It matches the Rfam family "tRNA". From Rfam's summary of the family: Transfer RNA (tRNA) molecules are approximately 80 nucleotides in length. Their secondary structure includes four short double-helical elements and three loops (D, anti-codon, and T loops). RNAcentral also lists the same sequence under 3 other names. The record is from Rfam by way of RNAcentral. Lineage: Eukaryota; Metazoa; Chordata; Mammalia; Carnivora; Felidae.
GCCUGGGUGGCUCAGUCGGUUGAGCGUCCGACUUCGGCUCAGGUCACGAUCUCGCGGUCCGUGAGUUCGAGCCCCACGUCAGGCU